This 176-nucleotide ribosomal RNA is filed under the name uncultured bacterium. Its description in RNAcentral is "partial 16S ribosomal RNA". It matches the Rfam family "Bacterial small subunit ribosomal RNA", at positions 355 to 525 of the family's 1533-position model. The record is from RNAcentral.
CGCCGGGGGUUGGCAUGGGCGCAGCCUGAUCCAGCAAUGCCGCGUGUGUGAAGAAGGCCUUCGGGUUGUAAAGCACUUUUAUCAGGAGCGAAAUACCACGGGCUAAUACCUUGUGGGGCUGACGGUACCUGAGGAAUAAGCACCGGCUAACUUCGUGCCAGCAGCCGCGGUAAUUA